CAGUCGCCGCGGUAAUACGAAGGGGGCUAGCGUUGUUCGGAAUCACUGGGCGUAAAGGGUGCGUAGGCGGAUUCUUAAGUCAGGGGUGAAAUCCCGAGGCUCAACCUCGGAACUGCCUUUGAUACUGGGGAUCUUGAGUCCGGAAGAGGUGAGUGGAACUGCGAGUGUAGAGGUGAAAUUCGUAGAUAUUCGCAAGAACACCGGUGGCGAAGGCGGCUCACUGGUCCGGAACUGACGCUGAGGCACGACAGCGUGGGGAGCAAACAGGAUUAGAUACCCCGGUAGUCCCUGUCUCUUAUAA
RNAcentral lists this ribosomal RNA (301 nucleotides) under uncultured bacterium. RNAcentral's name for it is "partial 16S ribosomal RNA". It matches the Rfam family "Bacterial small subunit ribosomal RNA", at positions 509 to 809 of the family's 1533-position model. The record is from RNAcentral.